GUCCAUCUGACGAGUCCCAAAUAGGACUAAACGCGCGUCCUGGAU
This 45-nucleotide non-coding RNA is filed under the name Schistosoma mansoni. Lineage: Eukaryota; Metazoa; Platyhelminthes; Trematoda; Strigeidida; Schistosomatidae. The record is from RNAcentral.